RNAcentral lists this long non-coding RNA (674 nucleotides) under Marmota monax (woodchuck). Lineage: Eukaryota; Metazoa; Chordata; Mammalia; Rodentia; Sciuridae. The record is from RNAcentral.
AUUUCUCGGAGUGUAAAAGGGCCUGUUAGUACAGUGACUAACACCAAUCAGGGAGAUGAUAGAUGGAGUUGGUCCUUGCUAGUGUUUGUCCUGUGGUGUUCUCCACAGGACAGAGAAACCUUGGAUACCCCUCUAAAAGGAGCAGAGUUGACAAGCUGGCUGUCCUCAGAAUUUUCAUUGCUCAUCUAAGCAAGAUUCUUCUGUGUUUCAGCAUAGAGCUGAAUUAAUUCUGUUACCUAUUACAACCCCAGGCCUAACUGACCCACUGUAGGAGAAAGAAUCUCUUCUGUAGAAAUGUAAAGAGGGAUUUAGAACAGUAAAGAUGGAGAUAGAGUUUGGACAAGAACCAACACAAUCUCCUGUUUGCUGUUUCCUUUUCCACCAGUUACAUCAAUUUUUAUCUCUUCUUAGUUUGACAUAUAAGGCCUUUUAUAAUAGUGAUUCCCAAAUUAACUCCUUUCAUACUUCCUAUCUCUAUAUCUUGGGCUUCAUUCAGCACACUGAAUUUGUGUGUCUUCCUAAUGCAUCCCAUACUUUGUCAUGCCUCUGGGUAUUUCAACACCUCCAUGCAUCUGGUGAGUUCAUACUCAUAUUUCCAAAUCCAGCUCAAAAUUCACUUACUAUGCAGUUUUUCUUGACUGUCUUCUCUUUGCCUCUCUAGCACCUUUUGAUUU